Molecule: long non-coding RNA, 343 nt
Organism: Coregonus clupeaformis (lake whitefish)
Lineage: Eukaryota; Metazoa; Chordata; Actinopteri; Salmoniformes; Salmonidae
Exons: 3
Source: RefSeq, a predicted model, not a curated record
CUGUUCUUCCAAGCCACCGUACCAACUUUCACUUCUUUCAACUUGCUGCUUCAGAGAGAGCAGUCAUCAAUAUUUUUGUUACAUGAUGAGAUGGUGAAAUUCGUACGCAAGCUAUGUUCCAAGUUUAUGGUUCCAGCAGCUCUGCAGUGCCAUGAGGAGCCUUGUGAAAUUGCCUUUGAAGAAAAGGCAAACCAUUUACCAGGGCUAAACUUAACAGAUUACUCGUCGAGGGUGACAUCACACCACAGCAGGUGGAUUCAUUCCAUGAAGCUGUGUUGUGUUUCCUGACAAGUGCUGUGGACUAUGCACUUAAGAAGCUGCCACUGGAAGAGCCACUGAUCAA